ACAGGAGUUUCUUACCCCCAUUCCAUGGAUUUACAGUGCCAGGACAUAAAUAUUGGCAACCCCCACCACAAUCAUGGUGCCUUUUGGGGCAGAAAAGUGGUGGGUGUUGCCAAUACUUAUGGUCUAGUACAGUAUAUGGCGCUCCCACUGUCGACCGGCAAGGAUCUUCAGUUCUGAAUCUCGUUUUUUGUAGCUCAUGAGCGAGCAAUGCACUGACUCGACUAUAUAGCUGAGAUACCAAAUUAGGAUUCGAAUAUUUCGGACUGUGGGGUACUUGGGUAUACACCCAUUGGCAUUCUGAAGGACGCCUAUCAAUACCGAGGG
Molecule: small RNA, 324 nt
Filed under: Histoplasma capsulatum
Lineage: Eukaryota; Fungi; Ascomycota; Eurotiomycetes; Onygenales; Ajellomycetaceae
Also listed under: 1 other name
Description: hypothetical RNA
Source: RNAcentral